GUCUGAGUUUGAGAUAAAUUUACAUCUAGUUAUGGUAGACUCACACCUAACUACUUAAAAUCACACAUUAUUGCAAACUUGACUGUAUUAUUGACACUCAUAAAAUAUAUUUGGAAAAAAAGUUUAUAAAAUUAUAGUUUUUAU
This is a non-coding RNA of Populus trichocarpa (black cottonwood), 144 nucleotides long. NCBI's taxonomy places the organism in Eukaryota, Viridiplantae, Streptophyta, Magnoliopsida, Malpighiales, Salicaceae. The record is from Rfam.